Molecule: ribosomal RNA, 620 nt
Filed under: uncultured Geobacteraceae bacterium
Lineage: Bacteria; Pseudomonadati; Thermodesulfobacteriota; Desulfuromonadia; Geobacterales; Geobacteraceae
Description: partial 16S ribosomal RNA
Rfam family: Bacterial small subunit ribosomal RNA
Source: RNAcentral
GAGUUUGAUCCUGGCUCAGAACGAACGCUGGCGGCGUGCUUAACACAUGCAAGUCGAACGUGAUCCAGAGCUUGCUCUGGUGAAAGUGGCGCACGGGUGAGUAACGCGUGGAUAACCUGCCCUGGUAUCUGGGAUAACAUCUCGAAAGGGGUGCUAAUACCGGAUAAGCCUACGGACUCUUCGGAGUCUGCAGGAAAAGGUGGCCUCUAUUUAUAAGCUACCGUAUCAGGAUGAGUCCGCGUACCAUUAGCUAGUUGGUGGGGUAAUGGCCCACCAAGGCUACGAUGGUUAGCUGGUCUGAGAGGAUGAUCAGCCACACUGGAACUGAGACACGGUCCAGACUCCUACGGGAGGCAGCAGUGGGGAAUUUUGCGCAAUGGGGGAAACCCUGACGCAGCAACGCCGCGUGAGUGAUGAAGGCUUUCGGGUCGUAAAGCUCUGUCAGAGGGGAAGAAAUGAGUCUGGCUAAUAUCCAGAUUUCUUGACGGUACCCUCAAAGGAAGCACCGGCUAACUCCGUGCCAGCAGCCGCGGUAAUACAAGKSCRYYMYCWAAAAAUAUYCAUCCCACUKKCKGCCGCUCCCYKCRUGCAGAAMRGGGKCCGCGGGASACACGCCAARG